UACAGAGGUCCCAAGCGUUGUUCGGAUUCACUGGGCGUAAAGGGUGCGUAGGCGGUCGGGUAAGUCUGGCGUGAAAUCUCCAAGCCUAACUUGGAAACUGCGUUGGAUACUAUCCGGCUCGAGGAAUGGAGGGGAGACUGGAAUACUUGGUGUAGCAGUGAAAUGCGUAGAUAUCAAGUGGAACACCAGUGGCGAAGGCGAGUCUCUGGACAUUUCCUGACGCUGAUGCGCGAAAGCCAGGGGAGCAAACGGG
RNAcentral lists this ribosomal RNA (253 nucleotides) under uncultured bacterium. RNAcentral describes it as "partial 16S ribosomal RNA". It matches the Rfam family "Bacterial small subunit ribosomal RNA", at positions 524 to 776 of the family's 1533-position model. The record is from RNAcentral.